GAAUAUAAGAUUUUAUAAUCUUGAAAAUAAUGUUAUUAUGCUAAGGCUCAUUAAUAACAUUUUAAUGAUUAUGAAAGCAAGAAAAGACCUACACAAUGAACAUGGGAAGUAAAACCCUGAGUGAGAUGCAAUUCUCAGACAGGUCUAUUGCUUGAAAUGAAAUAUCAAAUAAACCAUCCCCGAAGGGGACAUUCCAGCAUAAAGCUCCUGAUUUCUAUAAACCUUCUCACUCGAAUCAGCUGAGUAUUGACAAUAAAUAAGAAAUAAAUAGAUGAGUUACAGCUUGAGCCUGCAUGCAUAUUCACAAAUGCGAAGGACAAAUGUAGGCACGUGAAUUGUUCAUCAACCACGGCACUGCGAGUCAGAGAACUCUAAUAUAAUUAUAAGAAGGGAAAAAAAAAAAUAGUUAUGACAAAGCCAGGCAAGAGGGUGCUUUGGCGAUUUGCUUUCAUGGUCAAUUCUUGGCUUGUUUAUCAGCCUUUCUUUUGGCUUUUCUUUCUCUAGAGCUGAGAGAUUGCCUGAACCCUCCUUCGUCUUCUUCUGACUCUUCCAAGUCCCUGAAAGAUUUCUCUCUAAGCUCGGAAAAGCUUACGGCAUAGAAAGUAACAGCAGCAGCAGCUACAAUUCCCAGUACAGGAAGUGCCAUUUGCAUUCCUCCCUCCAUUUUUCCUGGUCUCUUUUCUCUUCUAGAUGAUGCUCAGAGGAUUUCGUUUUGCAUUAUUUUUUUGAGAUGGAGGAUUUCGUUUUGUUGUUAAAGGAUAAGGUAUUAUAUAUGGUCUAUUCUCAUCUAGAUGAUGCUCAGAGGAUUUCGUUUUGCAUUAUUUUUUUGAGAUGGAGGAUUUCGUUUUGUUGUUAAAGGAUAAGGUAUUAUAUAUGGUCUAUUCUCA
RNAcentral lists this unclassified non-coding RNA (887 nucleotides) under Hevea brasiliensis (rubber tree). Lineage: Eukaryota; Viridiplantae; Streptophyta; Magnoliopsida; Malpighiales; Euphorbiaceae. The record is from RNAcentral.